RNAcentral lists this ribosomal RNA (247 nucleotides) under uncultured cyanobacterium. Its description in RNAcentral is "partial 16S ribosomal RNA". It matches the Rfam family "Bacterial small subunit ribosomal RNA", at positions 1287 to 1533 of the family's 1533-position model. Lineage: Bacteria; Bacillati; Cyanobacteriota. The record is from RNAcentral.
CUCAGUUCAGAUCGUAGGCUGCAACUCGCCUACGUGAAGGAGGAAUCGCUAGUAAUCGCAGGUCAGCAUACUGCGGUGAAUACGUUCCCGGGCCUUGUACACACCGCCCGUCACACCAUGGAAGUUGGCCACGCCCGAAGCCGUUACUCCAACCCUCGGGAGGAGGACGUCGAAGGUGGGGCUGAUGACUGGGGUGAAGUCGUAACAAGGUAUCCGUACCGGAGGGUGCGGAUGGAUCACCUCCUAA